This 438-nucleotide ribosomal RNA is filed under the name Atractotomus agrifoliae. Its description in RNAcentral is "partial 16S ribosomal RNA". The stretch from base 303 to 438 matches the Rfam family "Bacterial large subunit ribosomal RNA", at positions 2473 to 2609 of the family's 2925-position model. The record is from RNAcentral. Lineage: Eukaryota; Metazoa; Arthropoda; Insecta; Hemiptera; Miridae.
GCAUAAUCAUUUGUCUUUUAAUUGAAGUCUGGAAUGAAUGGUUGGAUGAAAAAUUUACUUUCUUUAUUUUAUAAUUAAAAAUUAAUUUCUAAAUCAAAAAGUUUAGAUUCUAUUGAAGGACGAGAAGACCCUAUAGAACUUCAUUAUUUUUGGAGGAAAUUUUAUUUUGUUUAUAUUUAAAAUUUCCUUAAAAAAUAAUUUUGUUGGGGUGACAGAAAAAAUUUAAUAACUUUUUUUAUUUAUUUCAUUUAUAUAUGAUUAUUUGAUCCUUUUUUAGGGAAAAAAGAUUAAGUUACCUUAGGGAUAACAGCGUUAUUAUUUUAAAGAGUUCUUAUCGAUAAAAUAGUUUGCGACCUCGAUGUUGGAUUAAAAUAAGUUUCAGGAGUAUAAAAUUGAAUACUAGGUCUGUUCGACCUUUAAAUUUUUACAUGAUCUGAG